This 692-nucleotide long non-coding RNA is filed under the name Malus domestica (apple). Its description in RNAcentral is "long non-coding RNA (MDOM_LNC000258)". Lineage: Eukaryota; Viridiplantae; Streptophyta; Magnoliopsida; Rosales; Rosaceae. The record is from RNAcentral.
UCUCACCGACUCACUUCCGUCAAAUCUUUCUCUCGCAGACGAACCCAGCUCGACUUAUCUUCCACCUCUUCCUUCGCCGAAGCAACUAAAAACCAAAAACCUACUUGCGGCUUCUUCCUCCCGAUUUCGGAGCUUCUCUCUCUUCCACUCUCUCUCUCUCUCUCUCUCUCUCUCUCUCUCUUCCUCCCGAUUUCGGAGCUUCUCUCUCUUCCACACACACACACUCUCUCUCUCCCCUCCAUUGAAGCACCUCCAUACACAGGUAUCGUUUCUCCCGUAAUUAUAUAUUUAAUUAUUUGAAAGUUAGUUCUUCUGUGUAAAAUUCUUGAGCUUUUGCUUACCUGCAAUUUUCAAUUUUCUACGAUAUAGGGUUUUUGGAUGAUUUCAUGAUUUAGCGAUCCGCGCAUUUUCCAUAACCCUCUUUACGGAAAGUAAGCAAUUUAUCCUGCUUUAGAUUUUGCCAAAGAAAUUUAUAAUCUGGUGAUUUUCUAGGGAUCCAGGGAUGGAAAAAGCUGAGAAAGCAGGGAAGAAGGUUGGAAAAGCAGGGCUCUUUCAUUUGCUUCCAGAAUUUCGUCCCCUUAUCGCAGUGUAGCUCUUGCUGCAAUCUUCGUUUUCAGCCCUAUUUCGGGAACCUGUUCUUGGCAAAAACGACAUCGUCGUAGAAGCAGCUUGAAGCUCCACCAGGUUUCGAG